UGGGGAAUAUUGCACAAUGGGCGAAAGCCUGAUGCAGCAACGCUGCGUGAAGGAAGAAGGCCUUCGGGUCGUAAACUUCUGUCCUUGGGGAAGAAGAACUGACGGUACCCAAGGAGGAAGCCCCGGCUAACUACGUGCCAGCAGCCGCGGUAAUACGUAGGGGGCAAGCGUUAUCCGGAAUUAUUGGGCGUAAAGAGUACGUAGGUGGCAACCUAAGCGCAGGGUUUAAGGCAAUGGCUUAACCAUUGUUCGCCCUGCGAACUGGGAUGCUUGAGUGCAGGAGAGGAAAGCGGAAUUCCUAGUGUAGCGGUGAAAUGCGUAGAUAUUAGGAGGAACACCAGUGGCGAAGGCGGCUUUCUGGACUGUAACUGACACUGAGGUACGAAAGCGUGGGGAGCAAACAGG
RNAcentral lists this ribosomal RNA (405 nucleotides) under uncultured bacterium. RNAcentral describes it as "bacterial SSU rRNA". It matches the Rfam family "Bacterial small subunit ribosomal RNA", at positions 355 to 776 of the family's 1533-position model. The record is from RNAcentral.